This 71-nucleotide transfer RNA is filed under the name Marmota monax (woodchuck). RNAcentral describes it as "tRNA.Thr". The record is from RNAcentral. Lineage: Eukaryota; Metazoa; Chordata; Mammalia; Rodentia; Sciuridae.
GUUAUGGGGGCUCAGUGGUAGAGCACUUACCUAGUAUGCGUGAGGUACUGGGUUUGAUCCCCAGCAUCACA